Molecule: ribosomal RNA, 253 nt
Filed under: uncultured bacterium
Lineage: Bacteria
Description: partial 16S ribosomal RNA
Rfam family: Bacterial small subunit ribosomal RNA
Source: RNAcentral
UACGUAGGGUGCGAGCGUUAAUCGGAAUUACUGGGCGUAAAGCGUGCGCAGGCGGUGAUGUAAGACCGAUGUGAAAUCCCCGGGCUUAACCUGGGAACUGCAUUGGUGACUGCAUUGCUGGAGUAUGGCAGAGGGGGGUGGAAUUCCACGUGUAGCAGUGAAAUGCGUAGAUAUCUGGAGGAACACCGGUGGCGAAGGCGGCAUCCUGGACCGGCAUUGACGCUGAGGCGCGAAAGCCAGGGGAGCAAACGGG